AUUGAACGCUGGCGGCAGGCCUAACACAUGCCAGUCGAACGGUAACAGGAAGAAGCUUGCUUCUUUGCUGACGAGUGGCGGACGGGUGAGUAAUGUCUGGGAAACUGCCUGAUGGAGGGGGAUAACUACUGGAAACGGUAGCUAAUACCGCAUAACGUCGCAAGACCAAAGAGGGGGACCUUCGGGCCUCUUGCCAUCGGAUGUGCCCAGAUGGGAUUAGCUAGUAGGUGGGGUAACGGCUCACCUAGGCGACGAUCCCUAGCUGGUCUGAGAGGAUGACCAGCCACACUGGAACUGAGACACGGUCCAGACUCCUACGGGAGGCAGCAGUGGGGAAUAUUGCACAAUGGGCGCAAGCCUGAUGCAGCCAUGCCGCGUGUAUGAAGAAGGCCUUCGGGUUGUAAAGUACUUUCAGCGGGGAGGAAGGGAGUAAAGUUAAUACCUUUGCUCAUUGACGUUACCCGCAGAAGAAGCACCGGCUAACUCUGUG
RNAcentral lists this ribosomal RNA (490 nucleotides) under uncultured bacterium. Its description in RNAcentral is "partial 16S ribosomal RNA". It matches the Rfam family "Bacterial small subunit ribosomal RNA", at positions 30 to 507 of the family's 1533-position model. The record is from RNAcentral.